This is a long non-coding RNA of Haplochromis burtoni (Burton's mouthbrooder), 609 nucleotides long. RefSeq lists it as uncharacterized. Lineage: Eukaryota; Metazoa; Chordata; Actinopteri; Cichliformes; Cichlidae. The record is from RefSeq and is a predicted model, not a curated record. The transcript has 3 exons.
GAAAGCACUUUCUUCUACUUCAGAAGACGACAUACAAGCAGAGAAGUAAUAUAGAAGGCAAAAGGCAAACACCAUCACCAUGGGUGAAAAGAUUGGUGUCAGAUUUCUUCUAUUUGUUGUCUGCACAGCUACCACACCAAUAUCAACAACUGCAGCCCCAACAACAACCAUAACUGCGGUCACAACUACAGAUGCUCCAACAACAACCACAGCUUCCCCAAGAACAAACACAACUACCACCACAACCACAGCUGCUCCACCAAUAACCACAAAUGCCACCCCAACAACAACCACAACUGCGGCCACAACUACAGCUGGCCCAAAAACAACCACAGUGAUAGCCACAACUGCUCCAACAACUACAACAGCUGCACCCACAAACACAGCUACCCCAACAACAACCACAAUUGCCACCCCAACAACGACCACAACUGCACCCACAACCACAGCUGCUCCAACAACAACUACAGCUGCUCCAACAACAACCACAGUUUCCCCAACAACAACAACUGCACCCUCGACUACAGGUGCUCACACAACAACUACAGCUGUUCCAACAACAACCACAACUGUCUCCCCAACAACUACUACACCUGCACCCACAACAAC